GACCACCCGCCUCGCGGGGAAAGGCCAUACGGACAGCCGGGUCAACUGCCGA
Molecule: small RNA, 52 nt
Filed under: chicken gut metagenome
Description: Streptococcus sRNA SpF59 (ldcC RNA)
Rfam family: Streptococcus sRNA SpF59 (ldcC RNA)
Source: RNAcentral